CUACACACGUGCUACAAUGGAUAGUACAAAGGGUCGCGAAGCCGCGAGGUGGAGCUAAUCCCAUAAAACUAUUCUCAGUUCGGAUUGUAGGCUGCAACUCGCCUACAUGAAGCCGGAAUCGCUAGUAAUCGUGGAUCAGCAUGCCACGGUGAAUACGUUCCCGGGCCUUGUACACACCGCCCGUCACACCACGAGAGUUUGUAACACCCGAAGUCGGUAGGGUAACCUUUAUGGAGCCAGCCGCCGAAGGUGGGACAGAUAAUUGGGGUGAAGUCGUAACAAGGUAGCCGUAUCGGAAGGUGCGGCUGGAUCACCUCCUUU
Molecule: ribosomal RNA, 321 nt
Filed under: Listeria monocytogenes
Lineage: Bacteria; Bacillati; Bacillota; Bacilli; Caryophanales; Listeriaceae
Description: bacterial SSU rRNA
Rfam family: Bacterial small subunit ribosomal RNA
Source: RNAcentral